Molecule: unclassified non-coding RNA, 201 nt
Filed under: Hevea brasiliensis (rubber tree)
Lineage: Eukaryota; Viridiplantae; Streptophyta; Magnoliopsida; Malpighiales; Euphorbiaceae
Source: RNAcentral
CUCUUCCAGAUCGCGUCCCACCAGAAUCCGGAAGCCGCCGGAUAGUUGGGACACUCUCACCAGCGCGAAGUGGCUCUUGGUGUCGGUUUCUUCCAGCCGUUUGUAAAACGUCUCGGCCCAGCCAGGAUGAUCCAUCACCCCCGGCUCAAGCGAGGCGACAUUGCCGGCGACGCCCUGCCCCUGCGGGGUUGUCACCAGAUA